GGAUUGUAGCUCAGUGGUAGAGCACUUGCUUAGCAUGUGUGAAGCACUGGGUUCGAUUCUCAUCACCA
This 68-nucleotide transfer RNA is filed under the name Marmota monax (woodchuck). RNAcentral's name for it is "tRNA.Ala". The record is from RNAcentral. Lineage: Eukaryota; Metazoa; Chordata; Mammalia; Rodentia; Sciuridae.